UACGUAGGGUGCGAGCGUUAAUCGGAAUUACUGGGCGUAGAGCGUGCGCAGGCGGUUUUGUAAGCCAGAUGUGAAAUCCCCGGGCUCAACCUGGGAAUGGCAUUUGGGACUGCAAGGCUGGAGUGUGGCAGAGGAGACUGGAAUUCCCGGUGUAGCAGUGAAAUGCGUAGAUAUCGGGAGGAAUACCGAUGGCGAAGGCAGGUCUCUGGGCUGACACUGACGCUCAUGCACGAAAGCGUGGGGAGCAAACAGG
Molecule: ribosomal RNA, 253 nt
Filed under: uncultured bacterium
Lineage: Bacteria
Description: partial 16S ribosomal RNA
Rfam family: Bacterial small subunit ribosomal RNA
Source: RNAcentral